AAAGGUAACAAUUAAUACCAUUCAGACCCUAAUGUACCAUUCUUCUCUUCCUCAGAAUAUAGCAUUUUCUCAAAUCUUUCUAAUUCAGUAUUGCUUGCAUCACCAUUUGCAGGUCUAUGUACUGGACUUGAUAUUCAACUUCCAUAAGGUUUGUCCCCACAACUCCAUGUCAUGAUUUAUGUUAAUAAACAAAUAAAUUGUAAUAAUAAUUAGUUAUUUCCAUUGAUUCUUCAAGGUGGCCACCCUGAACAAAAAAUGCUAUGUUUCCCUAAUUCCCUUAAUUAAAUAUUGUUUUGUGUUUUCAAUGCUUGGUUCAUUUGCCAUAACUAAAUAAUCUUAUAAGCGUAGAUGCUUUAUUUGAAUUUUGAUCUGAGCUAUCAUUUCAUGUGUAUAAUAUUGCCUGAAAUUUAUUCCCAAUCAUUAAUAAUGUGUCUUGCUUCAUGAUGCAAAACUAGAAAGAAAAAGCUAACAUAGACCUUAAUCAUGCUAACGCGAUGAUCUUCACGGAUAACAAAUGGAUGUAGUUUCUUAGCAGAAUAGAGAAUUAGGGGAAUAACAAGGUACUUCCAAGUUUGCAAUGAUAAAAAGGUAGAUCAGUUUCAAUUGAUUUGAUAAUUUUUUUUCCAAAUUUUGAACCAUAAAAAUGCCAUGUUACAAAGGAGAAUAAUCUGAAUAAGAUAUGUUUCAAGCAUUAGGAAAUAAAUUAAGUACAAACUCAUGACAAAUUGCAAGUUUACAUUUAGAGAAAGUUUACAUUUAAUAUACACUAUACACCUAGCAUGAUUGAAAAGAAAUAGGAAGAGUCUGAAUCAAUUUGUAGCCCUUUAUUCUAGUGCCAGUGAAUGCAGUAAAGUAAUGAAUGCAUAUAAAUAGAAUGAACCUGUGCGUACGUACGUGUGUUUUUUUGUUUGUAUUUUUUGGGAUGGAGAAAUUGAAUAGUAGAGAAAAGUAUAAUAAUGGAAAAGUUUGUUAUUUAUUUGCUUCAAUGGCAAAAGAAGAAUCAAACUGGAGCUUAGCUUUAACAAUUCAGUUUUGAAUCAAUGGGAACCAAAAUUCUAGAUAUGAGAAUUAAAAUACUUGAAAAGUGAGGUAAUGUUCUUUUUUUUAAUUUACCUUUAAUUAAAGUUGGUUUAUAAUUAUUGUUUGGAGAGUGAGGCCACUUUUACCUUUGAUUUUUUUACAUUGGUUUUGGAAUUUGCUUCUAAUGUGUUUUGUUUAAUUUAUAAUAUUUUCUGUUUGUUAAUUUAUUCCAAUGCUCCUAUUGAAAGUGUAAACCGACGGUUCACUUCAAUGACUUAUGAUCAGAAAAAUGACGAUUCUGUUUCUGAAAUCCAAUCACAGUUUGCCUAAACCAUAUUUGAGCUAUUAGAACCUGAGAACUACAUGGUAGUAAAUAAAUCUUGAUUGCAAAUUUCACUUAAUGUACCUCAUAGAUAACUAUUUCCUAUUGUUUCAAUCUGUGUCAAGUUUCAUUCCAUAUUGCGAAGCUAAAGGUGCUGUGCUUUGCAUCACUUGUGCUGGUUCUGGCCUAUAUGUUGACUCCAUAUUGGAAAGCCAGGGCAUAAUUGUCAAAGUUCGUUGCUUAGGAUCUUAAAUACUAUAUGCUAAAGAAAGACGUCAAUCCUUGUAUCUUUGGUCCAGUAGAGAAGCAGAGAUGGUCUUAUGCCUGUGCAAAGCAAAUGACUGAUAGGCUAAUAUAAGCUGAGCAUGCAGAGAAUGGCCUCAAGUUCACAAUUGUGAGACCCUAUAACUAGAUUGGCCUAAGAAUGGACUUCAUUCCCGGUGUGGAUGGACCAUGUGAUGGUGUCCCCAUAGUUCUAGCUUGCUUCAGUAAUGUAACAUCAGCUGCCUGGUUCUGUUUCUAGUAAAUGUCUUUCAUGAUUUUGAUACAUAUCAGCUACUUGAGAUGUUAAUUCUCUUUUGGGUCCUAAAGAUAUGAACUGAACUAGCCCAAACUCUAAAGGGGUGAACAGGCAUUGGAUGCUAAAAAAAUUUAAUUUUUUCAGGUACUACUAUUUCAGCACAUGGAUGAUUUGGUCUUAGAGAACAUUUGUGACCGUGUGCAAAAAGCUGGGAUGAUGGAGAGCAGUAGCAGUAGAAAGAGCAAGUUUGCAGAUGAGAUAAGUAGAAUUAACACAGGACCUCCUUCACCAACUUCAUCUAAUGAAUCCUAUGUUACAAGUUAAUUAUUAGAGCAGCGAAAAUUGUUCAAAUGAGUUAGAAAAUUGAAUAGGAGUUGCUUGUAGCAUAGGUCUUUUAAUUUACUAGUAUGAGAAAAAUUAUUUAGAGCCCUUUGGAUACCCAUUAACAACUUUUAAUUUACUCAAUACACUUUGUUGAUGAAUGGUUGUUAU
Long non-coding RNA from Arachis duranensis, 2354 nucleotides. RefSeq lists it as uncharacterized. The record is from RefSeq and is a predicted model, not a curated record. Lineage: Eukaryota; Viridiplantae; Streptophyta; Magnoliopsida; Fabales; Fabaceae. The transcript has 3 exons.